Molecule: non-coding RNA, 73 nt
Organism: Podarcis lilfordi (Lilford's wall lizard)
Lineage: Eukaryota; Metazoa; Chordata; Lepidosauria; Squamata; Lacertidae
Source: the annotation of a GenBank genome assembly
UCUCUGGUAGCUCAGUUGGUAGAGCAUGAGACCCUGAAUCUCAGGGUUGUGGGUUCAAGCCCCACGUUGGGCA